AUGGGAAUGGAGACGUUGGCGGACAGGCAUCACAAGUCGUCACAGCCUCCUCAAGAGGUAGGAGAAGAAGAAGAAGAAGAAGAAGAAGAAGAAGAAGAAGAAGAAGAAGAAGAAGAAGAAGAAGAAGAAGAAUUAAUAAGCAUGGCACCUUUGGAAACUACCUACUCAUCCCAAGUAUGGUUUUGGAUGCUUCAUUUAUUUCUUGAAUGUUUGCUUAGAUUAUGUUUCUUUCCCAUGCUAUGUGUGCGUGUGUGUGUGUGUAAAUGCAAAUCCAGAACAUAUGAUGAUUAUCCAUUGAGCGCUGCUGUGGUUUGGUGGUGCUGCUGA
This 327-nucleotide ribosomal RNA is filed under the name Triticum aestivum (bread wheat). Its description in RNAcentral is "partial small subunit ribosomal RNA". Lineage: Eukaryota; Viridiplantae; Streptophyta; Magnoliopsida; Poales; Poaceae. The record is from RNAcentral.